RNAcentral lists this ribosomal RNA (253 nucleotides) under uncultured bacterium. RNAcentral describes it as "partial 16S ribosomal RNA". It matches the Rfam family "Bacterial small subunit ribosomal RNA", at positions 524 to 776 of the family's 1533-position model. The record is from RNAcentral.
UACGUAGGUGGCAAGCGUUGUCCGGAAUUAUUGGGCGUAAAGCGCGUGUAGGCGGCCGUGCAAGUCGGGUGUGAAAGCCCUCGGCUCAACCGAGGAAGUGCGCCCGAAACUGCAUGGCUUGAGUACCGGAGAGGAUGGCGGAAUUCCCCAAGUAGAGGUGAAAUUCGUAGAUAUGGGGAGGAACACCGGUGGCGAAGGCGGCCAUCUGGACGGAUACUGACGCUGAGACGCGAAAGCGUGGGGAGCAAACAGG